UAGUCCACGCCGUAAACGAUGAUUACUAGCUGUUUGUGAUAAACAAUAAGCGGCAAAGCGAAAGCAUUAAGUAAUCCACCUGGGGAGUACGUUGGCAACGAUGAAACUCAAAGGAAUUGACGGGGGCCCGCACAAGCGGUGGAACAUGUGGUUUAAUUCGAUGAUACGCGAGGAACCUUACCUGGGCUUAAAUGGGAGCUGCAUGAUUUAGAAAUAGAUCUUUCUUCGGACUGCUUUCAAGGUGCUGCAUGGUUGUCGUCAGCUCGUGCCGUGAGGUGUCGGGUUAAGUCCCAUAACGAGCGCAACCCCUAUCGUUAGUUGCCAUCAGGUCAAGCUGGGGACUCUAACGAGACUGCCGGUGUAAACCGCGAGGAAGGUGGGGAUGACGUCAAAUCAGCACGGCCCUUACGUCCAGGGCUACACACGUGUUACAAUGGCCAGUACAAAGGGCAGCUACCCGCGACGGGGAUGCGAAUCUCAAAAACUGGUCUCAGUUCGGAUCGGAGUCUGCAACCCG
This 517-nucleotide ribosomal RNA is filed under the name uncultured bacterium. Its description in RNAcentral is "bacterial SSU rRNA". It matches the Rfam family "Bacterial small subunit ribosomal RNA", at positions 791 to 1314 of the family's 1533-position model. The record is from RNAcentral.